RNAcentral lists this non-coding RNA (24 nucleotides) under Cricetulus griseus (Chinese hamster). Lineage: Eukaryota; Metazoa; Chordata; Mammalia; Rodentia; Cricetidae. The record is from RNAcentral.
AGACAAUCUCUGGACUAUGUAGUG